This 402-nucleotide ribosomal RNA is filed under the name uncultured bacterium. RNAcentral describes it as "bacterial SSU rRNA". It matches the Rfam family "Bacterial small subunit ribosomal RNA", at positions 355 to 774 of the family's 1533-position model. The record is from RNAcentral.
UCGGGAAUUUUGGGCAAUGGGCGAAAGCCUGACCCAGCAACGCCGCGUGAGGGAUGAAGUAUUUCGGUAUGUAAACCUCGAAAGAAUGGGAAGAAUAAAUGACGGUACCAUUUAUAAGCUCCGGCUAACUACGUGCCAGCAGCCGCGGUAAUACGUAGGGAGCAAGCGUUGUUCGGAUUUACUGGGCGUAAAGGGCGCGUAGGCGGCGCGGUAAGUCACUUGUGAAAUCUCUGAGCUUAACUCAGAACGGCCAAGUGAUACUGCUGUGCUAGAGUGCGGAAGAGGCAACCGUAAUUCUUGGUGUAGCGGUGAAAUGCGUAGAUAUCAAGAGGAACACCUGAGGCGAAGGCGGGUUGCUGGGCCGACACUGACGCUGAUGCGCGAAAGCCAGGGGAGCAAACG